RNAcentral lists this ribosomal RNA (433 nucleotides) under uncultured bacterium. RNAcentral describes it as "partial 16S ribosomal RNA". It matches the Rfam family "Bacterial small subunit ribosomal RNA", at positions 29 to 507 of the family's 1533-position model. The record is from RNAcentral.
AGCGAACGCUGGCGGCAGGCUUAACACAUGCAAGUCGAACGGGCACUUCGGUGCUAGUGGCAGACGGGUGAGUAACACGUGGGAACGUACCUUUCGGUUCGGAAUAAUCCAGGGUAACUUGGACUAAUACCGGAUACGCUCUUCGGGGGAAAGAUUCAUCGCCGAUAGAUCGGCCCGCGUCUGAUUAGCUAGUUGGUGAGGUAAUGGCUCACCAAGGCGACGAUCAGUAGCUGGUCUGAGAGGAUGAUCAGCCACAUUGGGACUGAGACACGGCCCAAACUCCUACGGAAGGCAGCAGUGGAGAAUAUUGGACAAUGGGCGCAAGCCUGAUCCAGCCAUGCCGCGUGAGUGAUGAAGGCCUUAGGGUUGUAAAGCUCUUUUGUCCGGGAAGAUAAUGACUGUACCGGAAGAAUAAGCCCCGGCUAACUUCGUG